Molecule: ribosomal RNA, 497 nt
Filed under: uncultured bacterium
Lineage: Bacteria
Description: partial 16S ribosomal RNA
Rfam family: Bacterial small subunit ribosomal RNA
Source: RNAcentral
GAUGAACGCUGGCGGCGUGCCUAAUACAUGCAAGUCGAGCGAACAGAUGAGGAGCUUGCUCCUCUGACGUUAGCGGCGGACGGGUGAGUAACACGUGGAUAACCUACCUAUAAGACUGGGAUAACUUCGGCAAACCGGAGCUAAUACCGGAUAAUAUAUUGAACCGCAUGGUUCAAUAGUGAAAGACGGUUUUGCUGUCACUUAUAGAUGGAUCCGCGCCGCAUUAGCUAGUUGGUAAGGUAACGGCUUACCAAGGCAACGAUACGUAGCCGACCUGAGAGGGUGAUCGGCCACACUGGAACUGAGACACGGUCCAGACUCCUACGGGAGGCAGCAGUAGGGAAUCUUCCGCAAUGGGCGAAAGCCUGACGGAGCAACGCCGCGUGAGUGAUGAAGGUCUUCGGAUCGUAAAACUCUGUUAUUAGGGAAGAACAAAUGUGUAAGUAACUAUGCACGUCUUGACGGUACCUAAUCAGAAAGCCACGGCUAACUACGUG